CUCAACGGAGCGAAAGCAAAAGAGCGCGUCUUGGAGAAUGACCUCAGAGACGCCUUGAACGCGGCGAACGUCCUGGAAUCAGAGCUGUCUCAGGAGAGAAUAUGCAGCCUUGACAUCAGCAACAGGUUUGGGCUGGUUAUUUUGGAAAACGAGGAACUGACCGAGCUGUUUUCUCGCGUGGCGAAUCAAAACGAGGAACUUACCGACAUCAUUGAGACAACAAAGCGCAACGAAGCUGCGUUACAGGUCAAAGUUCAAAAGUUGGAAUCGAUUAAUAAAAACCUAACGGAAGAGUUGGAAUCUGCCAAAACGCAACAUCAGGCACAGCUUGAAGCCCACGUACAGAAAUAUACAAACUUGGU
Non-coding RNA from Petromyzon marinus (sea lamprey), 362 nucleotides. The record is from RefSeq and is a predicted model, not a curated record. Lineage: Eukaryota; Metazoa; Chordata; Hyperoartia; Petromyzontiformes; Petromyzontidae.